GUAGAACUCAAUUUGGUAUUCAGUUUCUGUUGCUGUAAGCAACCAUGUUUACAGCAUAGUAAAUAAGAAAAAAAUUAUAUUCAGCAACGGAUUCGUUUCGACGCAGCUAGUUUUGAUAGAUUUAUCAAAGGCCAAGUUGGCACUAUCACCGAAUAAUUUUGCCUGGUGGAGCAGCAAGUUCGACGUGUCUUGGUAGAAGAGAUUAGUGAAAAGUUUGCCCCGGAUCGUCCAUGACUAUCUGGACAUACACAGAGGUCAACUAUUCGCAGCAUGAUAACGAGUCAGCGCAGAGCGAGACAUAUAAGGAGUUUUGUCUAAUUGUUUUGUACAAUUGUCGUACUUCAUUUGUGGAAGGUACGUUAGACUACUGAGAGAGCGUGGUCGAAAUGGUUAGUCAAGUUGAAUGAAUAGCGUGCAUCAAACAUUAAAUGUCAGCAAGGAAUAGAGACACCAAAACUGAACGUUAGAUUGGAGGACCUAGACGGCUGAACCUACCGGCCCGAAGCUUAGCAUGGAACGGCAAUCCAACUCGUAGAAGAAGCACGUAAAAUAGCUAAGAAUGAGUGCAAAAAUGCUAAUCCCGCAGCGGCUUAGGCUGCGCUACUAGGUAUACCAAGAAUUGAGUUUUACAUAAGCCUCGAUGCAAGCCCAGGUUUACCGAUAUAUUAAUGCCAUCAGAAAAAAAAUCUGCUAAAGGAUAAACGUAACCAUGAAAUAAUUACAUAUACUGAUUAAUUAAAGAAAAAUGAUUUUGGAGCCGUCGUUUGUUCUUUUGAGCAGAGCUUUCUUUAAUUUCAUUAACAAGUACGCAACAAUGAAGCCGGUAGUGGUCUUUCGCGAAAAUUUCAGAAUCGAGGCUAACUUGCGGCUAAUAUUUCACCCUAGAAUCAUGUGGAACUUUCUAGCCAUGUAUUAGGUUUUCAAUGUACGGAAAUAAAAUGUGUAUUUUGAGGAAGACAGCAGAGGUACCGGUAUUAUUUGAGAUUCUAGAUCGAAACAAGAAGCGAAAUUACAUGAGAAUGGACUGACAAAGACGGCGUUAUUGCUUGUGGUAGAUGCGCUCGAAUGAUAUAUGUAUGAAGGUUUUACCGCAGAGAACAGACAUCCAUUAUCGAACAAAUAUGUUAAUAAACUUUUGAAUGAAUAUACAUUAAAGCACUAGCGCCGCUACAUUGGUGCAGAUAACUUAACUACCAUCGAAAACGUUAGGGAUUUUUACAUAACUGUUAACAGCAUGCAGUCGACCAUCAAGGAAACACUAGACAUAACCUUUUUUGGCGCAAAAGGUCGUGCGAGUAUUAUAAACAAUAACAAAGGACUACCAGGAUUGACGGAUAGCGGUGUUCAUCUGUCGUGGAAAUUUACGUCCGUAUAAGGCUCCCUCAGUUGUUAAGAACGAAGGGAAUCAAGGGAGUUGAUAAAACUAAGGCUUUUCCAAUUGUUUCCUGAUAGAAAUUCUGAUUAUUAAUGCUUCAUCUUUUCGUUCACAGUAUCGAUCACUUGCUUGGGCCACAUCAGGUAAAAAUUAGUCGAUCGAUUGGAAGGAAUCGGAUUUCCGAAGACAGUGUAUUUACUGUGUAUAGUACUGUCGCGGAGCCACCAUGCAGGACGUCAAGGGAAGUAACUGGACUCAUCAAUUUUACCCGUUUCAGGCAGAUGAAUACCAAGACCACCCGAAACCGUGUCAUUUUAUAUUUCGGUGUUGAGCUUAUGAAGAAUAUUGUACAGCGAAACAAACGAAUUAUUCACUGAUAAAUAUUCUAU
This is a long non-coding RNA of Topomyia yanbarensis, 1764 nucleotides long. RefSeq lists it as uncharacterized. The record is from RefSeq and is a predicted model, not a curated record. The transcript has 3 exons. NCBI's taxonomy places the organism in Eukaryota, Metazoa, Arthropoda, Insecta, Diptera, Culicidae.